AUAUCAGUCAUGCAUAGCAUAUCAAUAAGCGGAGGAAAAGAAACUAACAAGGAUUCCCUAGUAACGGCGAGUGAAGCGGGAAGAGCUCAAAUUUGAAAUCUUCAAGGUUUCCCUUGACGAAUUGUAGUUUAUAGAAGUGUUUUCUGUUAGUGGAGUGGCAAAAGUUCUUGGAAUAGGACAUCAUAGAGGGUGAGAAUCCCGUAUUUGGUCAUUCCUCCUAGCGUUGUGAUACACUUUCAACGAGUCGGAUUGUUUGGGAAUGCAGUCCAAAAUGGGUGGUAAAUUUCAUCUAAAGCUAAAUAUUGGCGAGAGACCGAUAGCGAACAAGUACCGUGAGGGAAAGAUGAAAAGAACUUUGAAAAGAGAGUUAAACAGUACGUGAAAUUGUCAAAAGGGAAGCGUUUGACACCAGUGUUGUUUUUCCGAAAAUCAAUUACGAAUGUUUCGUUUUUAAGAAGUUAUGACUUCAUCGGCUUGCUUCUUUCUUUACGAAACUUUCUUAAUGCACUUUUCGGUUAACAAGUCAACAUCAAUUUCUUUUGUUGUAAAAGGGUAUGAGGAAGGUGGCUUUCUUUUCGGAGAAAGUGUUUAUAGCCUUGUGCCUCUGCAAUCGGAGAGAUUGAGGUCUGCAGCGUAGAUCCUUCGGGGUUAGAUACGUUUGUGCUAAGUUAUAGCUUUUCAUAGACAACUUGUUGACUAUGUUUAGUCUUGUAGCUUACUCGCUGACGCUAUUUUACCUACGCUUAGGAUGUUGAUCUCUCACAGUCGAGC
Molecule: ribosomal RNA, 771 nt
Filed under: uncultured Neocallimastigales
Lineage: Eukaryota; Fungi; Neocallimastigomycota; Neocallimastigomycetes; Neocallimastigales
Description: partial large subunit ribosomal RNA
Rfam family: Eukaryotic large subunit ribosomal RNA
Source: RNAcentral